ACGUAGGGGGCAAGCGUUGUCCGGAUUUAUUGGGCGUAAAGCGCGUGUAGGCGGCCACGCAGGUCCGCUGUGAAAACUCGAGGCUCAACCUCGAGCUGUCGGUGGAAACCGCGUGGCUAGAGUCCGGAAGAGGAGACUGGAAUUCCCGGUGUAGCGGUGGAAUGCGUAGAUAUCAGGAAGAACACCCGUGGCGAAGGCGGCUCUCUGGGACGGUACUGACGCUGAGACGCGAAAGCGUGGGGAGCGAACAGGA
Molecule: ribosomal RNA, 253 nt
Filed under: uncultured prokaryote
Description: partial 16S ribosomal RNA
Rfam family: Bacterial small subunit ribosomal RNA
Source: RNAcentral